GCCCCGUUAGCGUAGUGGUUUAUCGCAUCUGUCUUGUACGUCCACCAGUUGGGCUGAAACAGAAGGUCCGUCGUUCGACUCGGCGACGGGGCA
Non-coding RNA from Paraphysoderma sedebokerense, 93 nucleotides. The record is from the annotation of a GenBank genome assembly. NCBI's taxonomy places the organism in Eukaryota, Fungi, Blastocladiomycota, Physodermatomycetes, Physodermatales, Physodermataceae.